ACGCAGGUCAUCAACCUGCAUCGAUUACGUCCCUGCCCUUUGUACACACCGCCCGUCGCUUCUACCGAUUGGUCGUCCCGGUGAACAAUCGGGAGGCCGUGCUCAUGGUCAGCAAUGGCCGGAGCGCGGUUGAACUUUUGUAAAUUUGGACGACUAGAGGAAGAAGAAGUCGUAACAAGGUUUCCGUAGGUGAACCUGCGGAAGGAU
Molecule: ribosomal RNA, 207 nt
Filed under: Polymyxa graminis f. sp. temperata
Lineage: Eukaryota; Endomyxa; Phytomyxea; Plasmodiophorida; Plasmodiophoridae
Description: partial 18S ribosomal RNA
Rfam family: Eukaryotic small subunit ribosomal RNA
Source: RNAcentral